This is a long non-coding RNA of Melanotaenia boesemani (Boeseman's rainbowfish), 397 nucleotides long. RefSeq lists it as uncharacterized. The record is from RefSeq and is a predicted model, not a curated record. The transcript has 3 exons. Lineage: Eukaryota; Metazoa; Chordata; Actinopteri; Atheriniformes; Melanotaeniidae.
GUAUUAACUGAAUGAUGGUCACCAUAAUGUUGCUCUACUUCUCCCCCUUCCUCUCUCCAUUUUUCAGGUUUUUGCUGAGUUUAAUCGUAUUGCCAGUAAGAAUCUUGAAGGUCAAUUUUAUGAAGCCCUAGACCAGCACACUCCACGCUUCAUUGAGCUUUUCAAGUCCAAAAAAGGAACUACAGGACAAAAACUGACAGACUUGAUGCAGCACAUAAACUGGGUGUCUCCAGAUGUGACAGCACUUCGCUCUGUUGUCCUCAAAGGACUUCCUAUUGUACUUGGUGAUGAUUCCAGUGAGGUUUACAAGGCUUGCUCUGAUACAGCGAAAGAUGAAGCACUCGCCUCAGUGACAGUUGGGGUGCUGACUGUGGUCAGUGAAGAUACUGAGCAGCAG